This 700-nucleotide ribosomal RNA is filed under the name uncultured bacterium. RNAcentral's name for it is "bacterial SSU rRNA". It matches the Rfam family "Bacterial small subunit ribosomal RNA", at positions 54 to 749 of the family's 1533-position model. The record is from RNAcentral.
CAUGCAAGUCGAACGGUAACAGGGUGCUUGCACCGCUGACGAGUGGCGAACGGGUGAGUAAUGCAUCGGAACGUACCCAGUCGUGGGGGAUAACGUAGCGAAAGUUACGCUAAUACCGCAUACGUCCUGAGGGAGAAAGCGGGGGACCGUAAGGCCUCGCGCGAUUGGAGCGGCCGAUGUCGGAUUAGCUAGUUGGUAGGGUAAAGGCCUACCAAGGCGACGAUCCGUAGCGGGUCUGAGAGGAUGAUCCGCCACACUGGGACUGAGACACGGCCCAGACUCCUACGGGAGGCAGCAGUGGGGAAUUUUGGACAAUGGGCGAAAGCCUGAUCCAGCCAUGCCGCGUGAGUGAAGAAGGCCUUCGGGUUGUAAAGCUCUUUCAGAUGGAAAGAAAACGUACAGGUUAAUACCUUGUGCGGAUGACGGUACCAUCAGAAGAAGCACCGGCUAACUACGUGCCAGCAGCCGCGGUAAUACGUAGGGUGCGAGCGUUAAUCGGAAUUACUGGGCGUAAAGCGUGCGCAGGCGGUUAUGUAAGACAGAUGUGAAAUCCCCGGGCUCAACCUGGGAACUGCGUUUGUGACUGCAUAACUAGAGUACGGCAGAGGGAGGUGGAAUUCCGCGUGUAGCAGUGAAAUGCGUAGAGAUGCGGAGGAACACCGAUGGCGAAGGCAGCCUCCUGGGCCAGUACUGACGCUCA